GGAGUGGAUUUUUUUUAUUGGACAAUGUGUGCACUCAGUGGAAGGUGAAUGAGCAGCAGUUUAGGUGGAGUGAAUUAAUAUUGCCCUUUUAAAAGUCCCAAUGCCUUAUCCUCUGCAUUUCGCUGCUAACCUUUCCUGGCUUUUCCUGGAGUUUGAUAACUUAUGCCAACGGGUUGAAGCAGCUGCCCGGGCAGGAUUCAAAGCAGUGGAGGUGGCAUGGCCGUACGAUACUGAAGCAACACAGUUAAAGGAAGUUUUGAAGAGGAAUGGAAUGGAGAUUGUAUUGAUUAAUACCCCACCUGGAAACAAAGCAAAAGGAGAACUUGGGCUUGGAGCACUUCCAAUGCAGCAGGCCGAAUUCCGAACAGGAUUGGAAUCAGCAGUGAAGUACGCUAAGACUGUAGGGUGCAAACAGAUCCAUUUGAUGGCAGGACGUGUUCCAGUGGACUUAGACAGAACAUCUGUUACCAAGGCAAUGGAGACCACAUUUAUAGAAAAUCUGAAGUAUGCUGCAGACAUCCUCUCAAAGGAAGAGAUGCUAGGGUUGAUUGAACCUAUUAACUCUCGAAUCACAGAUCCCCAUUACUUCCUGAAUACUCCGCGUCAAGCUGAGAAGAUUCUGCAGCAAGUGGAUAGGCCCAAUCUGAAACUCCAGCUGGACUUGUUUCACUGCCAGAUAAUGGAUGGGAACCUCACUCAGAACAUCUCCAACUACUUCUCCCGAAUAGGUCAUGUCCAAAUUGCACAAGCUCCUAACCGGAAUGAACCAGACAGUCCAGGAGAGAUCAACUACAGCUACAUAUUCAACUUGCUGGAGAAGUUGGAAUAUCAAGGUUAUAUAGGCUGUGAAUAUUCUCCAAAAGGCAGCACAGUCGAUGGUCUUGGAUGGUUGAGGAGCUACUGGACCAACCAGGACGCCAGAAAGCUGCCUAUUUCAGAUGAAUGUUAACAAUGGAGAUGAAGUGUAUUCUGCCAAAUCCUCCUCUUGAGUAACAGCAGUUUAAUUGCAAUGAAAUCAGAUUGUAAUUCACAUUGAGUCAUGUUCAUUGUCCUAUUUACAUAUCAAGUUAUAACGAGACUGACUCCUUUGAGAAAAUGUGCUCCUGAUAGCUAUCAUUAUCCACGUUUUAAAGGAUUCUCAAAUUAUUUAAAAAAUGUAAACACUGUAUAAAUUGACUUUAAAAUUAAACAGUGGAAAGACUUAA
RNA transcript from Rhincodon typus (whale shark), 1205 nucleotides. It is a transcript of the gene named hydroxypyruvate isomerase, with no coding region annotated. The transcript is spliced from 10 exons. Lineage: Eukaryota; Metazoa; Chordata; Chondrichthyes; Orectolobiformes; Rhincodontidae. The record is from RefSeq and is a predicted model, not a curated record.